Molecule: ribosomal RNA, 448 nt
Filed under: uncultured soil bacterium
Lineage: Bacteria
Description: bacterial SSU rRNA
Rfam family: Bacterial small subunit ribosomal RNA
Source: RNAcentral
AGGACGAACGCUGGCGGCAGGCCUAACACAUGCAAGUCGAACGCACCGCAAGGUGAGUGGCAGACGGGUGAGUAACGCGUGGGAACCUACCCUUUGGUACGGAACAUACCAGGGAAACCUGGGGUAAUACCGUAUGAGCCCUUCGGGGGAAAGAUUUAUCGCCAUUGGAUGGGGCCCGCGUCGGAUUAGCUAGUUGGUGAGGUAACGGCUCACCAAGGCGACGAUCCGUAGCUGGUCUGAGAGGACGAUCAGCCACACUGGGACUGAGACACGGCCCAGACUCCUACGGGAGGCAGCAGUGGGGAAUAUGGUCAAUGGGCGAAAGCCUGAACCAGCCAUGCCGCGUGAGUGGUGAAGGCCUUAGGGUUGUAAAGCUCUUUCGGCGGGGAAGAUAAUGACGGUACCCGACAGGAAGAACGCCCCGGCUAACUUCGUGCCAGCAGGCCGC